Molecule: long non-coding RNA, 1393 nt
Filed under: Phascolarctos cinereus (koala)
Lineage: Eukaryota; Metazoa; Chordata; Mammalia; Diprotodontia; Phascolarctidae
Description: lncRNA (ENSPCIG00000030157.2)
Source: RNAcentral
GCCUCGGUUGCUUCUCCGUCAAAUAGAGAGGGCGCCCCAUGGCCCUUGAGGGCCCUCCCCGUCUAUGGUUCUGGGACCGCACAUGCGAGCAUCCCUUGGGUGCUGAGGGGGCUGGAGGAAAGGGGGCGGGACUGCUGCCAAGCAGCCAAUCAGGGGAGUCCGUGAGAGCCGCGCUGCCUGCCCCUAGCGGUCAAGGCCAGGAGCAGACACGCGAGGCUCGGGAGGCGUGACCUUGGAGGAGGCGUGCUCAUUCUCCGGAAGACCCCGGGAGGGGCGGCAUGGAGGGGAGCAGCUCUCAGGGAGACCUAAAGCCCAAAAAUGUUUUAAAGAAACCCCGGAAAGGCUCUUGGAGAGCAAGCUGGGGCCAGCAUGAAAUCAAACUGCUGCUAGAGGCCAUCUUCAAGACGGGCAAAGUCCACCAGAUCAUUUCGGGAAACAGUCAGAGAAAGAGCAAGCUCUGGAGAGAGGUCACUGAGACUCUGGCCAAGCGCCAUGUGGGCUACACGGCCGAGCAGUGCCGCACCAAGUGGAAGCACCUCAAGACCCAGUUCCGCUUUGAACAGGCUCGUUACCUGACGACAGGAGCCCACUCAGACCCUCUGCCGCACUUCUAUGAGGAAAUGAGCAACCUCUGGAAGAUGGCGGCCAGGUGCUCACCAAAGGCUGGGCCCUCAAAAUGGCCAAAACAACCUACCAAAGCAAAGACAGCCCUGCAACUCCAGAGGCAGAAUAAGGAAGAGGAAGUGUUACCUGGAACAUGGUCACAGCCUCCACAGGCAGUGACUCCCAUCACAGAGCAUCAGUCCAACGACAGUGAAACCAGUGAUGCGCCCAAAGAAGUGGAUGGAUGUGCAGCAAAUCAAGCAGCUUUAGGAAGAGAGACACUAGAGGAACCGGCCUUUCAGCAAGAGAAGCCUGAGGUCCCCUGUGACCCCAGAUACCAGCAGAUUGGGGAGACCAUGCUGGAGGAAUUGAGAAACCUGUCCCGAACCCAGCAGGAGAUGUCUGUGGUCAGCAUGUACAUUGCCAAAGCCCUCCAGUACCAGCAAGAACAGCUGAUCCCGGGCAUCCAUCUUCUAAAUCACAACAUGUACCAGCUCUGCCUGCUAUUGGCCAACCAGACGGAGGCCUCCCUCCACUCCGGGCCCUUUCUCCCCGAGAUGAUCAAUCCCAGCAUUGUCUUCUCUGGAUCUCCAGUUCCACAGCCUUAUCCUUCAGACUUUGAGCCUUCCGGUGGUGCCCACCCCAAGUAGGCUUCAGUUCUCUGAGAUGCAGCUCACAUUACCUUGGUUUCUUGGAAUGCAUUCUGUCUAAGUAAAUUUCAUGUGUUCCCCCUGUUUGGAAGGUUUGAGAUAAAGAUUUGGAUUCUAUCCCUCAGACUCUGCCUCUUUCA